UACAGAGACUGCGAGCGCUACUCGGAUUCACUGGGCGUAAAGGGUGCGUAGGCGGCUAAAUGUGUCAGAUGUGAAAUCCCGGGGCUCAACUCCGGAACUGCGUCUGAAACUAUUUAGCUAGAGACUCGGCGAGGUAAGCGGAAUUCCAAGUGUAGUAGUGAAAUGCGUAGAUAUUUGGAGGAACACCGAAGGCGAAGGCAGCUUACUGGAAGAGUUCUGACGCUGAGGCACGAAAGCGUGGGGAUCAAAAGGG
This 253-nucleotide ribosomal RNA is filed under the name uncultured bacterium. RNAcentral describes it as "partial 16S ribosomal RNA". It matches the Rfam family "Bacterial small subunit ribosomal RNA", at positions 524 to 776 of the family's 1533-position model. The record is from RNAcentral.